RNAcentral lists this ribosomal RNA (1100 nucleotides) under uncultured bacterium. Its description in RNAcentral is "bacterial SSU rRNA". It matches the Rfam family "Bacterial small subunit ribosomal RNA", at positions 38 to 1153 of the family's 1533-position model. The record is from RNAcentral.
GGCGGCGUGUUUAACACAUGCAAGUCAAGGACCGUAGCAAUACGGGACUGGCGCACGGGUGCGGAACACGUAGGCAAUCUGCCCUUCAAGGGAGCACAACCAGCCGAAAGGUUGGCUAAAUCUCCGUAAAAUCAUAGAGUGGCAUCACUUAUUGAUCAAAUUUUUUGAAGGAUGAGCCUGCGUCUGAUUAGCUAGUUGGCGGGGUAACGGCCCACCAAGGCUACGAUCAGUAGCUGGUCUGAGGAGGAUGAUCAGCCACAUUGGGACUGAGAUACGGCCCAGACUCCUACGGGAGGCAGCAGUGAGGAAUAUUUGUUCAAUGGGGGAAACCCUGAAGCAGCAACGCCGCGUAAAGGGAUGAAGGCGCUUUGCGUUGUAAACUUUUGUAGUCGGGGACAAAUUGUGGGUUACUACCCACUUGAUGGUACCCGAAAAGUAGGGAUCGGCUUACUACGUGGCAGCAGCCGCGGAAAUACGUAAGAACCGAACGUUUGCCGUGAUUACUGGGUGUAAAGGGUGCGCAGGCGGACUGAUAAGUCAGUGGUGAAAUCUCGUCUGCUUAACGACGAAACUGCCUUUGAUACUAUCAGUCUUGAAUCCGGUAGAGAUCUGUGGAAUUCCGAGUGUAGCAGUGAAAUGUGUAGAUAUUGGGAAGAACACCAGUGGCGAAGGCAGCAGAUUGGGCCGGUAUUGACGCUCAGGCACGAAAGCAUGGGGAUCAAACAAGAUUAGAGACCCUGGUAGUCCAUGCCCUAAACGAUGUUCACUUGAUGUCUGCCCUAAGGGUAGAGUGUCGAAGCUAACGCGAUAAGUGAACCACAUGGGAUAGCACGCUCGCAAGGGUGAAACUCAAAGGAAUUGACGGGGGCCCGCACAAGCAGUGGAGCAUGUGGUUCAAUUCGAUGCAACGCGAAGAACCUUACCUAGGCUUGAAAAGCAGUCUAAAGCAGCGAAAGCUGUGUACCCGCAAGGGGGGCUGUACAGGUGCUGCAUGGCUGUCGUCAGCUCGUGCCGUGAGGUGUUUGGUUAAGUCCAGCAACGAGCGCAACCCCUGGGUUUAGUUGCCAGCACGUAAAGGUGGGAACUCUAAACCAACUGCC